Molecule: ribosomal RNA, 232 nt
Filed under: uncultured bacterium
Lineage: Bacteria
Description: partial 16S ribosomal RNA
Rfam family: Bacterial small subunit ribosomal RNA
Source: RNAcentral
GAUAUGGCUCAGGACGAACGCUGGCGGCGUGCUUAACACAUGCAAGUCGAACGAAGAGCGAUGGAAGCUUGCUUCUAUCAAUCUUAGUGGCGAACGGGUGAGUAACGCGUAAUCAACCUGCCCUUCAGAGGGGGACAACAGUUGGAAACGACUGCUAAUACCGCAUACGAUCUAAUCUCGGCAUCGAGGAUAGAUGAAAGGUGGCCUCUACAUGUAAGCUAUCACUGAAGGG